Molecule: long non-coding RNA, 317 nt
Filed under: Homo sapiens (human)
Lineage: Eukaryota; Metazoa; Chordata; Mammalia; Primates; Hominidae
Description: long intergenic non-protein coding RNA 1182
Source: RNAcentral
UCUCAUUUGCUUCAAUUUGCCGAAAGAUCAAAUACUCUCCUGAGUCCUUCUUUUCUCUCCACGAACUUGCCAAGAAUUCUGGGAUCAACUCUAUUUCCAUAAAACAGGAAGAGAGAAAAGGAAAAUUAUAAGGCCCCUUGGGGUCACUGGAUUUUGCACCAUCAGAUACAUUUUGAUAUUAGAAGAUAAAGAGAUUGGCCCGAAACUGGGAUGGAGGAGAAGCAGCCAAAGAGUUGUUCUGUUUCUUAAGUUACUUUGAAGGUUGUACACUUUUAAUAUUCAUUUUGAGGAAUAAAUAAUUUAGACAUCCAAUUAAA